GCCGAAGUGGCGGAAUCGGCAGACGCGCUGUCCUCAGGAGGCAGUGAGCGAAAGCUCGUGUGGGUUCAAAUCCCACCUUCGGCACCA
RNAcentral lists this transfer RNA (87 nucleotides) under Chloroflexaceae bacterium. RNAcentral's name for it is "tRNA-Leu". It matches the Rfam family "tRNA". From Rfam's summary of the family: Transfer RNA (tRNA) molecules are approximately 80 nucleotides in length. Lineage: Bacteria; Bacillati; Chloroflexota; Chloroflexia; Chloroflexales; Chloroflexaceae. The record is from RNAcentral.